UCCGUUAUGGUGUAGUGGCUAACAUUAUCGCCUCUCAUGAGGACCAUGUCGGUUAUGCAGCGCGAUAGCCCAGGGUUCGAUUCCCUGUAACGGAA
Molecule: non-coding RNA, 95 nt
Organism: Marasmius tenuissimus
Lineage: Eukaryota; Fungi; Basidiomycota; Agaricomycetes; Agaricales; Marasmiaceae
Source: the annotation of a GenBank genome assembly